AUUUAUAUAAUAUAAAAAGUAUAUUUAACUUCCAAUUAAAGUGUUUAUCUUCUUCGAUAAUAUAAAUA
This 68-nucleotide transfer RNA is filed under the name Potamyia chinensis. Its description in RNAcentral is "tRNA-Gly". The record is from RNAcentral. Lineage: Eukaryota; Metazoa; Arthropoda; Insecta; Trichoptera; Hydropsychidae.